AACACAGGUCCGUGCGAAGCCGUAAGGCGAUGUAUACGGACUGACGCCUGCCCGGUGCUGGAACGUUAAGGGGACCGGUUAGCUCCAUUUCGGUGGGGCGAAGCUGAGAACUUAAGCGCCAGUAAACGGCGGUGGUAACUAUAACCAUCCUAAGGUAGCGAAAUUCCUUGUCGGGUAAGUUCCGACCUGCACGAAUGGCGUAACGACUUCUCGACUGUCUCAACCAUAGGCCCGGUGAAAUUGCACUACGAGUAAAGAUGCUCGUUUCGCGCAGCAGGACGGAAAGACCCCGGGACCUUUACUAUAGCUUGAUAUUGGUGUUCGGUUCGGCUUGUGUAGGAUAGGUGGGAGACUGUGAACUCGUCACGCCAGUGGCGGGGGAGUCGUUGUUGAAAUACCACUCUGGUCGUGCUGGAUGUCUAACCUGGGUCCGUGAUCCGGAUCAGGGACAGUGUCUGGUGGGUAGUUUAACUGGGGCGGUUGCCUCCUAAAGAGUAACGGAGGCGCCCAAAGGUUCCCUCAGCCUGGUUGGCAAUCAGGUGUUGAGUGUAAGUGCACAAGGGAGCUUGACUGUGAGACUGACGGGUCGAGCAGGUACGAAAGUAGGGACUAGUGAUCCGGCGGUGGCUUGUGGAAGCGCCGUCGCUCAACGGAUAAAAGGUACCCCGGGGAUAACAGGCUGAUCUUCCCCAAGAGUCCAUAUCGACGGGAUGGUUUGGCACCUCGAUGUCGGCUCGUCGCAUCCUGGGGCUGGAGUCGGUCCCAAGGGUUGGGCUGUUCGCCCAUUAAAGCGGUACGCGAGCUGGGUUUAGAACGUCGUGAGACAGUUCGGUCCCUAUCCGCUGUGCGCGUAGGAGUCUUGAGAAGGGCUGUCCCUAGUACGAGAGGACCGGGACGGACGAACCUCUGGUGUGCCAGUUGUCCUGCCAAGGGCAUGGCUGGUUGGCUACGUUCGGAAAGGAUAACCGCUGAAAGCAUCUAAGCGGGAAGCCUGCUUCGAGAUGAGGGCUCCCUCCUCCUUGAGAGGGUAAGGCUCCCAGUAGACGACUGGGUUGAUAGGCCAGAUAUGGAAGCCUGGUAACGGGUGGAGUUGACUGGUACUAAUAGGCCGAGGGCUUGUCCUC
Molecule: ribosomal RNA, 1124 nt
Filed under: Streptomyces thermotolerans
Lineage: Bacteria; Bacillati; Actinomycetota; Actinomycetes; Kitasatosporales; Streptomycetaceae
Description: bacterial LSU rRNA
Rfam family: Bacterial large subunit ribosomal RNA
Source: RNAcentral